UGAGGUGUACUAUGGACUGACGGAGG
RNAcentral lists this non-coding RNA (26 nucleotides) under Homo sapiens (human). Lineage: Eukaryota; Metazoa; Chordata; Mammalia; Primates; Hominidae. The record is from RNAcentral.